RNAcentral lists this ribosomal RNA (250 nucleotides) under uncultured prokaryote. Its description in RNAcentral is "partial 16S rRNA". It matches the Rfam family "Bacterial small subunit ribosomal RNA", at positions 525 to 775 of the family's 1533-position model. The record is from RNAcentral.
ACGUAGGUGGCGAGCGUUAUCCGGAAUCAUUGGGCGUAAAGAGGGAGCAGGCGGCCGCAAGUGUCUGUGGUGUACGACCGAAGCUAAACUUCGGUAAGCCAUGGAAACCGGGCGGCUAGAGUGCGGAAGAGGAUCGUGGAAUUCCAUGUGUAGCGGUGAAAUGCGUAGAUAUAUGGAGGAACACCAGUGGCGAAGGCGACGGUCUGGGCCGCAACUGACGCUCAUUCCCGAAAGCGUGGGGAGCAAAUAG